UUUCCGUAGGUGAACCUGCGGAAGGAUCAUUCAUAAUAAAGUGUUUUAUGGCCCUUUUUAAAAAUCCAUAUCCACCUUGUGUGCAAUGUUAGAUCUCGUCAAUCUUGGCGAGAUUUUUAUACAUCAACUCAUUUUUUAACUAAUUUGUCUGAAAAAUAUUAUGAAUACUUAAUUCAAAAUACAACUUUCAACAACGGAUCUCUUGGCUCUC
RNAcentral lists this unclassified non-coding RNA (211 nucleotides) under plant metagenome. RNAcentral describes it as "partial contains small subunit ribosomal RNA, internal transcribed spacer 1, and 5.8S ribosomal RNA". The record is from RNAcentral.